UACGGAGGGGGCUAGCGUUGUUCGGAAUUACUGGGCGUAAAGCGCACGUAGGCGGACUGUUAAGUCGGGGGUGAAAUCCCUCGGCUCAACCGGGGAACUGCGUCCGAUACUGGCGGGCUUGAAUCCGGGAGAGGAAUGCGGAAUUCCAGGUGUAGCGGUGAAAUGCGUAGAUAUUGGGAGGAACACCAGUGGCGAAGGCGGCUCACUGGACCGGAACUGACGCUGAUGCGCGAAAGCGUGGGGAGCAAACGGG
RNAcentral lists this ribosomal RNA (253 nucleotides) under uncultured bacterium. Its description in RNAcentral is "partial 16S ribosomal RNA". It matches the Rfam family "Bacterial small subunit ribosomal RNA", at positions 524 to 776 of the family's 1533-position model. The record is from RNAcentral.